RNAcentral lists this ribosomal RNA (170 nucleotides) under Chlamydia psittaci C1/97. RNAcentral describes it as "partial 23S ribosomal RNA". It matches the Rfam family "Bacterial large subunit ribosomal RNA", at positions 2744 to 2925 of the family's 2925-position model. The record is from RNAcentral. Lineage: Bacteria; Pseudomonadati; Chlamydiota; Chlamydiia; Chlamydiales; Chlamydiaceae.
AGUAGCUACGUUCGGAAAGGAUAAGCAUUGAAAGCAUCUAAAUGCCAAGCCUCCCUUAAGAUAAGGUAUCCCUAUGAGACUCCAUAUAGACUAUGUGGUUGAUAGGUUGGGUGUGUACGCACAGUAAUGUGUUUAGCUAACCAAUACUAAUAAGUCCAUUGACUUGGUUU